This 468-nucleotide ribosomal RNA is filed under the name Colletotrichum gloeosporioides. RNAcentral describes it as "eukaryotic LSU rRNA". The stretch from base 151 to 304 matches the Rfam family "5.8S ribosomal RNA". Lineage: Eukaryota; Fungi; Ascomycota; Sordariomycetes; Glomerellales; Glomerellaceae. The record is from RNAcentral.
UUUGUGAACAUACCUAUAACUGUUGCUUCGGCGGGUAGGGUCUCCGUGACCCUCCCGGCCUCCCGCCCCCGGGCGGGUCGGCGCCCGCCGGAGGAUAACCAAACUCUGAUUUAACGACGUUUCUUCUGAGUGGUACAAGCAAAUAAUCAAAACUUUUAACAACGGAUCUCUUGGUUCUGGCAUCGAUGAAGAACGCAGCGAAAUGCGAUAAGUAAUGUGAAUUGCAGAAUUCAGUGAAUCAUCGAAUCUUUGAACGCACAUUGCGCCCGCCAGCAUUCUGGCGGGCAUGCCUGUUCGAGCGUCAUUUCAACCCUCAAGCUCUGCUUGGUGUUGGGGCCCUACAGCUGAUGUAGGCCCUCAAAGGUAGUGGCGGACCCUCCCGGAGCCUCCUUUGCGUAGUAACUUUACGUCUCGCACUGGGAUCCGGAGGGACUCUUGCCGUAAAACCCCCCAAUUUCCAAAGGUGAC